RNAcentral lists this ribosomal RNA (427 nucleotides) under uncultured bacterium. Its description in RNAcentral is "bacterial SSU rRNA". It matches the Rfam family "Bacterial small subunit ribosomal RNA", at positions 29 to 501 of the family's 1533-position model. The record is from RNAcentral.
AACGAACGCUGGCGGCAGGCCUAACACAUGCAAGUCGAACGCCCUAGCAAUAGGGAGUGGCAGACGGGUGAGUAACACGUGGGAACCUUCCCUAUAGUACGGAAUAUACCAGGGAAACUUGGAGCAAAUACCGUAUACGCCCGAAAGGGGAAAGAUUUAUCGCUAUAGGAUGGGCCCGCGUAGGAUUAGCUAGUUGGUGAGGUAACGGCUCACCAAGGCGACGAUCCUUAGCUGGUUGAGAGAACGACCAGCCACACUGGGACUGAGACACGGCCCAGACUCCUACGGGAGGCAGCAGUGGGGAAUAUUGGACAAUGGGCGGCAAGCCUGAUCCAGCCAUGCCGCGUGAGUGAUGAAGGCCUUAGGGUUGUAAAGCUCUUUUGCCGGGACGAUAAUGACGGUACCCGGAGAAUAAGUCCCGGCUAAC